This 434-nucleotide ribosomal RNA is filed under the name uncultured bacterium. RNAcentral's name for it is "partial 16S ribosomal RNA". It matches the Rfam family "Bacterial small subunit ribosomal RNA", at positions 29 to 507 of the family's 1533-position model. The record is from RNAcentral.
AGCGAACGCUGGCGGCAGGCCUAACACAUGCAAGUCGAACGAACCUUUCGGGGUUAGUGGCGGACGGGUGAGUAACACGUGGGAACGUGCCUUUAGGUUCGGAAUAACUCAGGGAAACUUGUGCUAAUACCGAAUGUGCCCUUCGGGGGAAAGAUUUAUCGCCUUUAGAGCGGCCCGCGUCUGAUUAGCUAGUUGUUUGAGGUAAUGGCUCACCAAGGCGACGAUCAGUAGCUGGUCUGAGAGGAUGAUCAGCCACAUUGGGACUGAGACACGGCCCAAACUCCUACGGGAGGCAGCAGUGGGGAAUCGUGCGAAAUGGGCGAAAGCAUGACGCAGCCAUGCCGCGUGAAUGAUGAAGGUCUUAGGAUUGUAAAAUUCUUUCACCGGGGACGAUAAUGACGGUACCCGGAGAAGAAGCCCCGGCUAACUUCGUG